Lotus japonicus is the source of this 2952-nucleotide long non-coding RNA. RefSeq lists it as uncharacterized. The transcript has 8 exons. NCBI's taxonomy places the organism in Eukaryota, Viridiplantae, Streptophyta, Magnoliopsida, Fabales, Fabaceae. The record is from RefSeq and is a predicted model, not a curated record.
AUCUCCUGCUAAAAUUCGCUGAUGUUUUGGUUUCUCCCUUUUCACCCGUUUUCAUUCUACCAGCCCUUUUAAAUCGCUCGCACGUUCUCCCUUUCAUAUUUUUCUUCCGUUUUCCUUCGAUCGUGUGUGAGCAGAACCGGAACAGAUCAGAGCACGGACAAGGCGAGGCAGAGCACGAACGAGGCGAAGCAGAUGAGAUUGAAGGCGGAUUUCAAUCUUCUGGGCUUUGAAAUUGGUGGCAGGUGGCAUAAACAGAUUUCAUCUUCUCAAAAAGGGAAAAAAAAAGCAACCAUAUGCCUCAGAGAGAGCGAGCGCGAAGAUUCUUCUCAGGGUGCUUUGGUGAAACGUCUUGGAUUUUGAGAAGAAGAAGAAGCUGAGGCGUCUUCCUCAUGUUUUAAGCAGGGUUCUCCAACUCUUUCGUUCCUCUUCUCCUUCUCUGCGCCGUUUCUCUCUAGGGUUUCGAAAAUGACAGAUUUGAGACAGAGGCUUACAAUGACCAGGUUAUUCCUGAUUUCGCCAUUUUUGCUUUAAUUCCUUCUCUACUCUGCACUGAUUUCGCCCGACACUUAUGCUUGAACAGGCGCCGACGAUCUGGAAUUGCCUUCAAAUUUCGGUUUUUAUUUUGUCCAGCAAUUAGAACUUCACCUCCCUCUGCUAUGAAAUUUUCCUUUCCACGUGAAAUCACUGUGUGGGUGGUUCUCUAACAGAACAGCUAUCUUCAGGAGUAAUGAUUUGGAAAUUUGCAAGCUUAUAGGUUUUUGGAUUUUAUCAUGCGUUGUGAACGUGAAGCACUAGAGCCAUUGGAUGGAUAAGGAUUGAAGCAAGAGUUAUGUGAAAACGGAGUGGUGAAGGCAGAGAAGGUACCCAGACAGCACCAUGAAGGUCAAGAAAUGGCAGUGAAGAAUUAAGUGUCAGUACAUGAAAACUGGCCUGCCAAUAGCUAUGCCCUUAUCCUUUUCUGUCCUUUUUUUUUUAUUCAGCAAGGUGUGGCAAAACCAAAGCAAUUCACAUUGGGCUUGAAGACGUAUAACGUAAUAUUUCUCUACUCCUCUUUGUGAAACAUUGAUCCGCUACUCUAUUAAUUAAUCAUUGGAGAAAUGCAUACCGGUUUUACAGUCGGCUCCUCGCAGUUUCGCCAAAGGUAUCAAAUUUGGUUCUUUUAUCAGAGAUUGUGAUUCAUUGUUUUGUUAUGGGUAUGCAUAGUAUUAGGGAGAGGGGCCUGAAGUUGUGUUUUCUUUGGUCUGCUUCAUAAUUUCGAUUCAUUUAGCUACAAAUAAUAAAUUACAUAACAUAUGAGUUGAGAAAAAAAUGUCCAAGCUAGAUGAUGAUGGCGAUUAGUUGAGCAGUGAUGGUGAUUAAUCUGCUUCAUAAUUUUGAUUCAUUUGGCUACAAAUGUUAAAUUACAAAAUAUGAGUUGAGGAAAAAAUGCCCAAGCUAAAUAUUAAUCAAUUAGUUGUGAUUUGGGAUGAGGUUGAAUGCCUUCAUUUUUUAAGAGACCCUUGAAUACAUGUACUUGAAUGAUAGCUGGAUCACUAAAUACGUGCUCUUCUGCUUUGGCAGAUGUCCAGAGGGACUUGAUUUGCAAAUUAUGAAAUGAUCAUCUGCUCUUUUUUUACAGUUGUGAAAAUUUCUCUUGGGAAAAUUUCUUUCUUGAAAAAAUAAUUAAUAGAAUUUGGAAGAACAAGCAGUCAAUUAAGAUGUUGAAUCUUAUCUUCGUGACUUCAGGUGAGUGUCUUUCCUUUUUUUCUUUGUUGUAAUUGUUGAAGAUGUGAGACCCUUGAUUUCCCUAGCUUACUGCUAAUGUGUGGUGCAUCAGAAAUGGGGCUUAACCCUUUUUGUAAUUUGAUAUUUGAUUUCCAAUUGGUAGCUACAUGUCAAUUUGUUUAUCACUGAAUUUUUUUUUUCUGCAUCAUGAUUAGUGUUUGUAUUCAAAAUUGUACCAUGAAAUUUGCAGUUUUUUUUUUCCCUUUUGCAGAUUAUUAGCUACACAACUCUGAUGUUGGAUGAACAAAUAAUGGGUUGCUGGAAAGUAAAAGAUGCUUAGCUCAGUAGUAUACAAUAUAAGAUCUAUUUUGGUUUGAUAGUCUUUUAUUAUGUAACAUUUAUCAUGUAUCACAUGUUUGAUAUAAUGACUUGCAGGGUAACUAUUUCCGGAUACAUAUCGGUUUGACAAUCUUUUAUUAUGUAACAUUUUUCAUGUAUUUUAUUUUCUUCUUGAGCUAAGACUAUAAAUCUUAAAUAUAACAUUUUAAUUCCAUGUUCGUGUUAGUUGCUUGCCAUAUGCAGAAAAAUUUACCCCAAAUUUGCCUGCAAGUAUGUUAGCAUUCCUUGAGUAAUUGCUAUUUUCGUGUAUAUUAUGGAACAUGAAUUGGGACCAACGGAUUUUUGGGGAAAAUUCCUUGAAUGCAUGUACUUGAAUGAUAGCUGGGAUCACUAAAUAUGUGCUCUUUCUGAUUUAGGUUGUCAUCACUUGGCAUUUCUGAAAUGGCAUCUCUUCAUGACCAGAUGAAGAGUGUGAUGGAUAUCUAAAAAAUCACCAACGAAUGAAGAUGGUUGCAACCUCCAAGCUACAAGCUGUCACCAUUGUUGAUUGUUUUGGUGUGUGUUCAAUGUUGUGAGAUCAAUUAAGAUGACGCAGCAAAAGAGAGUUGUAGAAAGGAGACUUUGGCCUCCAUUUUUGAUGUUUGGUUAGAUUUGAGUUGUCACCUAGAAGUUGUUUCUGAGUGACUUCACAAUACCAUUCAAGAUAGAACUUUUUGACAUAGAAAGUGGUUCGCCAUUAUCACCUCUCCCAUUUUAAACGGAAACUUUAUUUGACUAUUUCAUUUGGCUGCCUUGGUAUCAAGAGAGUCAAAGAAUUUUUCUGAGUACAAUAGGAAUUUGUAGUUCAGGCUCUGUAUUGUCACUAGCAUUAUGUAAACUUUUCAUAAAACCAUACUACCAUUAAGAUAA